ACGGAAGGCAGCAGUGAGGAAUAUUGGUCAAUGGACGCAAGUCUGAACCAGCCAAGUAGCGUGCAGGAUGACGGCCCUAUGGGUUGUAAACUGCUUUUAUCAGGGAAUAAAGUGAGGCAUGUAUGCCUUUUUGCAUGUACCUGAUGAAUAAGGACCGGCUAAUUCCGUGCCAGCAGCCGCGGUAAUACGGAAGGUCCGGGCGUUAUCCGGAUUUAUUGGGUUUAAAGGGAGCGUAGGCCGGAGGUUAAGCGUGUUGUGAAAUGUAGUUGCUCAACAUCUGCACUGCAGCGCGAACUGGCUUCCUUGAGUACGCGGAAAGCAGGCGGAAUUCGUUGUGUAGCGGUGAAAUGCUUAGAUAUGACGAAGAACUCCGAUUGCGAAGGCAGCUUGCUGUAGCGCCACUGACGCUGAAGCUCGAAAGUGUGGGUAUCGAACAGGAUUAGAUACCCUGGUA
RNAcentral lists this ribosomal RNA (454 nucleotides) under uncultured Prevotella sp. Its description in RNAcentral is "bacterial SSU rRNA". It matches the Rfam family "Bacterial small subunit ribosomal RNA", at positions 341 to 792 of the family's 1533-position model. The record is from RNAcentral. Lineage: Bacteria; Pseudomonadati; Bacteroidota; Bacteroidia; Bacteroidales; Prevotellaceae.